This 581-nucleotide long non-coding RNA is filed under the name Brassica rapa (field mustard). RNAcentral's name for it is "long non-coding RNA (BRAP_LNC006395)". The record is from RNAcentral. Lineage: Eukaryota; Viridiplantae; Streptophyta; Magnoliopsida; Brassicales; Brassicaceae.
GUUUGGGACCGGUUCGGUUUAUAUCGGGUUCGGGUCGGGGUUAGUAAAUCUUCAAAGAACCGGUAUAACCCAUUGUAUUUUCGGGUUUGGGUCCCAAUCAAUUCUUCGGUUUAACAAUACAUGAUUUGUACCUAUUUUGUAACUAAAACAUAAAUGAAAUCGGUUCUUCGGAUUUAAAAUACAUGAUUUGUACAUAUUUUAAUAGCCAAAACAUAAGUAAAAUCGAUUCAAAAAUAAGAAAAAACAUUAAACAUGAUCAUUCAAAAUCUAGCGAAAGAUAAACAUAGUUAGUGAUAGAAAGAAAACCAGAUAAAUGAAAUCAUAAAACAAAAACUAAGUUCUCAUGAAAUGAGAAACACUAUUCAAUAAAAACAAAACCAAAAUAAAAAAAACUUUAGGCUUCAACCGCUACAUUCCACCAUCAACCUUCAUGUAUUAGAUAAUUAUUUUAGAAGUUCAAUAAUAUUUUAAAGUAUUUUGGAUACAUAUUAAGAAUUAAAAUCAUAUUUGGUAAAAGUUCUUUUUGUUAUUAUAAAUAUUUCGGGUUCUAUCGGAUAUCCAUUUAGGUCCGGGUUCGGUUC